AACAACUCACCUGCCGAAUGAAUUAGCCCUGAAAAUGGAUGGCGCUGAAGCGGGCGGCCGACACCUUGCCGUCUGAACAAGAAUUUCAGAUGAGUAGGAGGGCGUGGCGGCCGUGUCGAAGCACGCGUGCAGACGCUUGUGGAACGGCCGCUAGUGCAGAUCUUGGUGGUAGUAGCAAGUAUUCAAGCGAGAUCCUUGAAGGGCGAAGUGGGGAAGGGUUUCACGCGAACAUUGAUUGGGCGUGAGUGAGUCGUUCCUAAGCCGAGUGGCAAUUGCUAAUUAACGGCGAAAGGGAAGCGGGUUGACAUUCCCGCACACGGAUGUGGAGGCGGUGACGCUAUUAUUGGGGCGAACACGCUGGCGAUGGCGCUGGGCAGAGUUGUCUUUUCUGUUUGACCGCUUGCGCACGCAGUGUGGAAUCCUCUUAUAGGGAGAAACACGCGUGUACGGGCAGAGCGCUGGGGCUUUUCCAGCGUCCAGCUCGCCAUCGACGGCCCUUGAAACUUUGCCUGCUGAAUAAGAUCCACGCCGUGGCGUACCGAUAACCGCAUCAGGUCCCCAAGGUGAACAGCCUCUGCUCAAUAUGAAAAAU
This 592-nucleotide ribosomal RNA is filed under the name Gymnogongrus flabelliformis. RNAcentral describes it as "eukaryotic LSU rRNA". It matches the Rfam family "Eukaryotic large subunit ribosomal RNA", at positions 1284 to 1900 of the family's 3401-position model. Lineage: Eukaryota; Rhodophyta; Florideophyceae; Gigartinales; Phyllophoraceae. RNAcentral also lists the same sequence under 3 other names. The record is from RNAcentral.